This 245-nucleotide long non-coding RNA is filed under the name Olea europaea (common olive). RNAcentral's name for it is "long non-coding RNA (OEUR_LNC012102)". The record is from RNAcentral. Lineage: Eukaryota; Viridiplantae; Streptophyta; Magnoliopsida; Lamiales; Oleaceae.
UACCAAUCUUUGGCUUGUUGAGUAAAAACAUCAAAUCCAUAAACACCAAAACACCUGUCUCACAACUCCAAUUAAACUUCCAGAGGAUCAUCAGUUUGAAGAUCCAGGAAGGAUUUGCUUGAAGAGCUGGAGUGCGUGGCGAUUCACGGGAGGUAGAAAUUAUACAAGGCUGGGAUUUAGCACGGAUCUGCAAAAUCCAGGAGGGUCUUGAGUUCAUACAGCAAGGAGGUCAAAAAAUUGAGAGU